Long non-coding RNA from Monomorium pharaonis (pharaoh ant), 1109 nucleotides. RefSeq lists it as uncharacterized. The record is from RefSeq and is a predicted model, not a curated record. NCBI's taxonomy places the organism in Eukaryota, Metazoa, Arthropoda, Insecta, Hymenoptera, Formicidae. The transcript is spliced from 4 exons.
AGGACGGGGAACGGGCCAUCAGUCGUUCCGCGACCGUUACGUUCUACAAGGAAUACGUGUGAAUAUGGCUCGAGAUGACGAGAUGACGCCUUCGUCUUUACGCGGUCAACUUCAUGCGACAAGACUGGCGCCGCGUAUACUCGCGACGCGGCAAUACUUUUGGUCAAGCACUUUGGUCACGUGAAUUACAUUGUUAAUACUAACUUAAUAAAACAUCCUUUAUAUAUUAAAUAUUCAAGCUAAACAAUUCUUACAAUUCAUAUUGAGUGACACUUGUCUUUUUUACAAGGUUAAUCCACGUGCUUGGAAAUUGUCUCAUAUCGAGAUUGCAAGUAUCUUGUAUGCUGGACUGACAUAACUUGCACCAUGGAUCAUAGGUGGGAUAUAUUACAAAACAAUGAUAGUUACAAGACUAAAUAGAUGCGUUUUAGUCAUGGGAGGCCAAGAAGUAUCAGUAUCUUGGCUAUACAGCUGCUGACAGCUUGGAACAUGUAAUUAGCACUUGCAAUAGUGACACUGUAAAGAUGCUGCAGAAUUUAAAUGCUGAUGUUGUCAUUGAUUAUAAGAAAGAUUCCAAUGCAGAAAUUUUUACAGAGAGACUGAGUUAUUUUGUAAGUUAAAAUGCAUUGUAUUAGAAUAAACACAGUAUAUAUACAUGUACAAUUGUCAUAGUUACAUACAGAUACGACAUGACCUUAGAUUACACGAAUCAGGGAUCAGAAUAAUUCACAAUGAAGGAAUACUCAAUACACAACACUUACAUAGCAUUAAACUUGACUCUGUUAAAAAAUGUCGACCAUUACGAGCUAAUUAUGGGACUGGUGAAGAUCCUUGACCUAAAGGUCUGAAGUUUAAUACAGAAAAUAAAAGCAUUGUGCAAUUUUUUUAUGCCUUCUCAACUGUAUUAAUGUUUUCCAGAAGCUCGUGAAAAAUGAAGAGUAUGUGCUUAUUGUUCAAACAUGCUUUCCAAGAUUUGCCACAGGCAAUAUGAGAGAUUAAAGUAAGGUCAUUUAAGAAGCAAACCAACUAAUUGAUAUAAAAUAAUAAACCGAGUUAAAUAAUUUUUUAUAUACAAAUGAUUUAUUAACAAUAAAUACUUAUUUUGCAUA